RNAcentral lists this long non-coding RNA (991 nucleotides) under Citrus sinensis (sweet orange). RNAcentral's name for it is "long non-coding RNA (CSIN_LNC002160)". The record is from RNAcentral. Lineage: Eukaryota; Viridiplantae; Streptophyta; Magnoliopsida; Sapindales; Rutaceae.
AAAUGGUUGUCGCAAAUGACGCCUCAAAAUUCAGUCAGGAAGGUGGCGCGUGGAUUACACUCUCCAACGUCGCGAGUGGGCUUUACUUAAAAAACCAAAAACUAGUUCUACUCCAAACUGGUUCGGUUUAGCGGUUUGGUUUGGCCUGCUAAAGUGUUCACUACAGUAACCACUCUCCUUAGCACACUCUCCGAUUUUCGCCAAAUUUUCAACGCCAAUAUGCAUCUCGACUAUUUUUGAUGUGCUGAUUCAGAAUCUGAUUUCGGAUUUUAAAUCGGAUGAACAAUGUUGAUACACACACCUUCCGAGAGUGGGUUUGCGCAUGGAACCACUGUUCAUUUUCUUCAACCUCAACAAUUUUUUAGAUUUUGAACCAGAAAUUUAAAAGCUCUCUCAAUACACAUCAGAAUUUUUCAUAUAAUAAACCGUUGGACAGAUCUUUUCAUACUCUUUCCAAUUAUACCAAUUUCAUAUUUAUAUGUUAUGUAUCAUAAAAGAUAUCAGUAAAAUAAACCUACGGGUUCAUAUCUUAGGUUUUCAUUUUACUCAUUACAUGGAUCAUAUUAAUCCUCAUGGCAACUAGGAAUUAAUCUAUACACCUUUAUAUGUUUAUUAAUCCAGUUGCAUGGCAUCAAAAAUAAGUAAAUUAUAACAUGCCAUUAAUAUGUGUUCUUUAUGGAAACAUUAACUUUCUUAAAGAACAUGCUUGGGUCUCAUGCUUUAUAUGCUUAAAUCAGAACGCAACCUAUUCAACUCAGAUACCAAUGUUGAUUUUCGAGCAAGAAUUAUCAUAAAAACUUGUAAAUUUGACUUUAAACGCAUACCCAGAUUAUAUGCAAAAAAUCGAUAAACCAAGGUUGCGCUACUGAUUUAUGGUCGAAAGAUGAUCACAAAGGCGGAAAAUCCUCUCAAUUCAUGUUGCAAGAACCCUCUAAACUUCUAUUGACUUGAAAUUUCUCUAAAUUGCACUUUGCUUAUUCUUUGCUUAACU